ACUAAUAUCUUCAAAUGUAUUAUUUCCAUAAUCAUAAAUUAAAUCAUAAAUUAAAUAUUUGACAGAUGGAGAAACUGAGGCAAAGGGGCUGCUGACUCUCUCCACACCACUGAAAAGACACCUGGGGUAACUUCAGCCCAUGCUCACUUCUUGGACCAUUUGUCUUCCUUGAUGAUUAUUACUGAAGAGAAGAAGAUUCAGAAACCCUGUGUUAGAUGUUGAUACUGCUGAUCCAGGAGCCAUAAUUUAAAAAUCUUGGAUUCAGACAGACCCAAGGUAUUUAUACAUGAGAGGAAAAAUGCUUCUC
This 307-nucleotide long non-coding RNA is filed under the name Fukomys damarensis (Damara mole-rat). RNAcentral describes it as "lncRNA (ENSFDAG00000032878.1)". Lineage: Eukaryota; Metazoa; Chordata; Mammalia; Rodentia; Bathyergidae. The record is from RNAcentral.